Molecule: ribosomal RNA, 490 nt
Filed under: uncultured bacterium
Lineage: Bacteria
Description: partial 16S ribosomal RNA
Rfam family: Bacterial small subunit ribosomal RNA
Source: RNAcentral
AUUGAACGCUGGCGGCAGGCCUAACACAUGCAAGUCGAACGGUAACAGGAAGAAGCUUGCUUCUUUGCUGACGAGUGGCGGACGGGUGAGUAAUGUCUGGGAAACUGCCUGAUGGAGGGGGAUAACUACUGGAAACGGUAGCUAAUACCGCAUAACGUCGCAAGACCAAAGAGGGGGACCGUCGGGCCUCUUGCCAUCGGAUGUGCCCAGAUGGGAUUAGCUAGUAGGUGGGGUAACGGCUAACCUAGGCGACGAUCCCUAGCUGGUCUGAGAGGAUGACCAGCCACACUGGAACUGAGACACGGUCCAGACUCCUACGGGAGGCAGCAGUGGGGAAUAUUGCACAAUGGGCGCAAGCCUGAUGCAGCCAUGCCGCGUGUAUGAAGAAGGCCUUCGGGUUGUAAAGUACUUUCAGCGGGGAGGAAGGGAGUAAAGUUAAUACCUUUGCUCAUUGACGUUACCCGCAGAAGAAGCACCGGCUAACUCCGUG